CAGGGUAUGGUGGUGUACAGGGUAUGAUGGUGUACAGGGUAUGGAGGUGUACAGGGUAUGGAGGUGUACAGGGUAUGGAGGUGUACAGGGUAUGGAGGUGUACAGGGUAUGGUGGUGUAAGAGGUAUGUGGUAUACAAGGUGUGGUGGUGUACAGGGUAUGGUGGUGUACAGUGUAUGGAGGUGUACAGGGUAGGGUGGUGUACAGGGUAUGGUGGUGUACAGGGUAUGGUGGUGUACAGGGUAUGAUGGUGUACAGUGUAUGUUGAUGUACAGUGUAUGUUGAUGUACACGGUAUGAUGGUGUACAGGGAAUGGUGGUAUACAGGGCAUGGUGGUG
Long non-coding RNA from Oncorhynchus tshawytscha (Chinook salmon), 337 nucleotides. Lineage: Eukaryota; Metazoa; Chordata; Actinopteri; Salmoniformes; Salmonidae. The record is from Ensembl.